RNAcentral lists this ribosomal RNA (324 nucleotides) under Triticum aestivum (bread wheat). Its description in RNAcentral is "partial small subunit ribosomal RNA". Lineage: Eukaryota; Viridiplantae; Streptophyta; Magnoliopsida; Poales; Poaceae. The record is from RNAcentral.
AUGGAUUUUAUCACAGGACUACCCAGGACAAAGGCAGGCUACGAUUCGAUAUGGGUAGUAGUUGAUCGUUUGACAAAGGUAGCACAUUUUAUUCCAGUUAAGACCACUUACACCAGUGCUAAGUUGGCAAAGAUAUACAUGACUAGGAUCAUUUGUUUGCAUGGAGUUCCGAAGAGUAUCGUAUCAGAUAGAGGAACCCAAUUUACCUCAAGGUUUUGGAAUCAGUUGCAUGAAACUUUAGGAACCAGACUAGAGUUCAGCACAGCUUUUCAUCCGCAGACAGAUGGACAGACCGAAAGAGUCAAUCAGAUUUUGGAAGAUAUG